AAAGCAUUCCUGGAAAUCUCGGCCCAAAAAAGGACGUUUAGUAAUUCUAAAAGGGACUACAGGAUGAAAAACAAUAGUUUUGGCAGUUAAAGUUUGAGAUUCGAUAAUGCCGUAGAUCCGUUUGGUCAUCAGGUGUAACGAGCCACACCCAUGUCUGGUUAGAGUAGUGUGCUAGGCUCAGACUAGAUAAGAAACGGGGAACAAACUGAUGAAAGAAUGAUCAUACCGAGCGAAUUCACUCAGAACUAACAAGAAUGAUAACAUGCUCCGACUGGAGCGGUUUAGGAACUGCUGGAAGGCUCUAGGGGAAUAAAGAUGGAAUGACUUCUAAUUUUUAGGUCCGUAUGAUUUGAAAUACUUGCACACAAACCACGCGAAAGCGUUCCUGGAAAUCUCAGCCCAAAAAAGGACGUUUAGUAAUUCUAAAAGGGACUACAGGAUGAAAAACAAUAGUUUUGGCAGUUAAAGUUUGAGAUUCGACAGUGCCGUAGAUCCGUUUGGUCAUCAGGUAUUACGAGCCACACCCAUGUCUAGCUAGAAUAGUGUGCUAGGCUCAGGCUAGAGAAGAAACGGGGAACAAACUGAUGAAAGAAUGAUCAAACCGAGGGAAUUCACUCAGAACUAACAAUAAUGAUAACGUGCUCCGACUGGUGCGGUUUAGGAACUGCUGGAAGGCUCUAGGGGAAUAAAGAUGGAAUGACUUCUAAUUUUUAGGUCCGUAUGAUUUGAAAUACUUGCACACAAACCGCGCGAAAGCGUUCCUGGAAAUCUCAGCCCAAAAAAGGACGUUUAGUAAUUUUAAAAGGGACUAUAGGAUGAAAAACAAUAGUUUUGGCAAUUAAAGUUUGAGAUUCGACGGUGUCGUAGAUCCGUUUGGUCAUCAGGUGUUACGAGCCACACCCAUGUCUAGCUAGAAUAGUAUGUCAGGCUCAGGUUAGAGUAGAAACGGGGAACAAACUGAUGAAAGAAUGAUCAUACCAAGGGAAUUCACUCAGAACUAUCAAGAAUGAUAACGUGCUCCGACUGGAGUGAUUUAGGAACUGCUGGAAGGCUCUAGGGGAAUAAAGAUGGAAUGACUUCUAAUUUUUACGUCCGUAUGAUUUGAAAUACUUGCACACAAAUCACGCAAAAGCGUUCCUGGAAAUCUCAGCCUAAAAAAGGACGUUUAGUAAUUCUAAAAGGGACUACAGGAUGAAAAACAAUAGUUUGGGCAGUUAAAAUUUGAGAUUCGACGGUGCCGUAGAUCCGUUUGGUCAUCAGGUGUUACGAGCGACACCCUUGUCUAGCUAGAAUAGUGUGUUAGGCUCAGACUAGAGAAGAAACGGGGAACAAAGUGAUGAAAGAAUGAUCAUACCGAGGGAAUUCACUCAGAACUAACAAGAAUGAUAACGUGCUCCGACUGGAGCGGUUUAGUAACUGCUGGAAGGCUCUAGGGGAAUGAAGAUGGAAUGACUUCUAAUUUUUAGGUCCGUAUGAUUUGAAAUACAUGCACACAAACCCUGAGAAAGCGUUCCUGGAAAUCUCGGUCGAAAAAAGGAUGUUUAAUAAUUCUAAAAGGGACUACCGGAUGAAAAACAAUAGUUUUGGCAGUUAAAGUUUGUGAUUCGAUGGUGCCGUAGAUCUGUUUGGUCAUCAGGUGUUACGAGCCACACCCAUGUCUAUCUAGAAUAGUGUGUUAGGCUCAGGCUAGAGCAGAAACGGGGAACAGACUUAUGAAAGAAUGAUCAUACCGAGGGAAUUCACUCAGAACUAACAAGAAUGAUAACGUGCUCCGACUGGCGCGGUUUAGGAACUGCUGGAAGGCUCUAGGGGAAUAAAGAUGGAAAGACUUCUAAUUUUUAGGUCCGUAUGAUUUGAAAUACUUGCACACAAACCGCACGAAAGCGUUCCUGGAAAUCUCAGCCUAAAAAGGAUGUUUAGUAAUUCUAAAAGGGACUACAAGAUGAAAAAUAAUAGUUUGGGCAGUUAAAAUUUGAGAUUCGACGAUGCCGUAGAUCCGUUUGGUCAUCAGGUGUUAUGAGCCACACCCAUGUCUAGCUAGAAUAGUGUGUUAGGCUCAGGCUAGAGAAGAAACGGGGAACAAACUGAUGAAAGAAUGAUCAUACCGAGGGAAUUCACUCAGAACUAACAAGAAUGAUAACGUGCUCCGACUGGAGCAGUUUAGAAACUGCUGGAAGGCUCUAAUGGAAUAAAGAUGGAAUGCCUUCAAAUUUCUAGGUCCGUAUGAUUUGAAAUACUUGCACACAAACCGCUCGAAAGCGUUCCUGGAAAUCUCAGCCCAAAAAAGGACGUUUAGUAAUUCUAAAAGGGACUACAGGAUGAAAAACAAUAGUUUUGGCAGUUAAAGUUUGAGAUUCGAUGGUGCCGUAGAUCCGUUUGGUCAUCAGGUGUAACGAGCCACACACAUGUCUAGCUAGAGUAGUGUGCUAGGCUCAGACUAGAGAAGAAACGGGGAACAAAGUGAUGAAAGAAUGAUCAUACCGAGGGAAUUCACUCAGAACUUACAAGAAUGAUAACGUGCUCCGACUGGAGCGCUUUAGUAACUGCUGGAAGGCUCUAGGCGAAUAAAGAUGGAAUGACUUCUAAUUUUUAGGUCCGUAUGAUUUGAAAUACUUGCACACAAACCACGCAAAACCGUUCCUAGAAAUCUCGGUCGAAAAAAGGACGUUUAGUAAUUCUAAAAGGGACUACAGGAUGAAAAACAAUAGUUUUGGCAGUUAAAGUUUGAGAUUCGAUGGUGCCGUAGAUCCGUUUGGUCAUCAGGUGUUACGAGCCACACCCAUGUCUAGCUAGAGUAGUGUGCUAGGUUCAGACUAGAGAAGAAACGGGGAACAAAGUGAUUAAAGAAUGAUCAUACCGAGGGAAUUCACUCAGAACUAACAAGAAUGAUAACGUGCUCCGACUGGAGCGGUUUAGGAACUGCUGGAAGGCUCUAGGGGAAUAAAGAUGGAAUGACUUCUAAUUUUUACGUCCGUAUGAUUUGAAAUACAUGCACACAAACCACGCAAAAGCGUUCCUGGAAAUCUCAGCCUAAAAAAGGACGUUUAGUAAUUCUAAAAGGGACUACAGGAUGAAAAAUAAUAGUUUGGGCAGUUAAAAUUUGAGAUUCGACGCUGCCGUAGAUCCGUUUGGUCAUCAGGUCUUACGAGCCACACCCAUGUCUAGCUAGAAUAGUGUGUUAGGCUCAGGCUAGAGAAGAAACGGGGAACAAACUGAUGAAAGAAUGAUCAUACCGAGGGAAUUCACUCAGAACUAACAAGAAUGAUAACGUGCUCCGACUGGAGCAGUUUAGAAACUCCUGGAAGGCUCUAGGGGAAUAAAGAUGGAAUGACUUCAAAGUUUUAGGUCCGUAUGAUUUGAAAUACUUGCACACAAACCGCGUGAAAGCGUUCCUGGAAAUCUCAACCCAAAAAAGGGCGUUUAGUAAUUCUAAAAGGGACUACAGGAUGUAAAACAAUAGUUUUGGCAGUUAAAGUUUGAGAUUCGAUGGUGCCGUAGAUCCGUUUGGUCAUCAGGUGUAACGAGCCACACCCAUGUCUAGCUAGAGUAGUGUGCUAGGCUCAGACUAGAGAAGAAACGGGGAACAAAGUGAUGAAAGAAUGAUCAUACCGAGGGAAUUCACUCAUAACUAACAAGAAUGAUAACGUGCUCUGACUUGAGCGGUUUAGGAACUGCUGGAAGGCUAUAGGGGAAUAAAGAUGGAAUGACUUCAAAUUUUUAGGUCCGUAUGAUCUGAAAUACUUGCACACAAACCGCGAGAAAGCGUUCCUGGAAAUCUCAACCCAAAAAAGGACGUUUAGUAAUUCUAAAAGGGACUACAGGAUGAAAAACAAUAGUUCUGGCAGUUAUUGUUUGAGAUUCGAUAAUCUCGUAGAUCCGUUUGGUCAUCAGGUGUAACGAGCCACACCCAUGUCUAGCUAGAGUAGUGUGCUAGGCUCAGACUAGAGAAGAAACGGGGAACAAACUGAUGAAAGAAUGAUCAUACCGAGGGAAUUCACUUAGAACUAACAAGAAUGAUAACGUGCUCCGACUGGAGCGGUUUAGGAACUGCUGGAAGGCUCUAGGGGAAUAAAGAAGGAACGACUUCUAAUUUUUAGGUCCGUAUGAUUUGAAAUAUGUGCACACAAACCACGAGAAAGCGUUCCUAGAAAUCUCGGCCCAAAAGAGGACGUUUAGUAUUCUAAAAGGGACUACAGAAUGAAAAACAAUAGUUUUGGCAGUUAAAGUUUGAGAUUUGACGGUGCCGUAGAUCUGUUUGGUCAUCAGGGGUUACGAGCCACACCCAUGUCUAGCUAGAAUAGUGUGUUAGGCUCAGGCUAGAAAAGAAACGGGGAACAAAGUGAUGAAAGAAUGAUCAUACCGAGGGAAUUCACUCAGAACUAACAAGAAUGAUAACAUGCUCCGACUGGAGCGGUUUAGGAACUGCUGGAAGGCUCUAGGGGAAUAAAGAUGGAAUGACUUCUAAUUUUUAGGUCCGUAUGAUUUGAAAUACUUGCACACAAACCGCGCGAAAGCGUUCCUGGAAAUCUCAGCCCAAAAAAGGACGUUUAGUAAUUCUAAAAGGGACUACAGGAUGAAAAACAAUAGUUUUGGCAGUUAAAGUAUGAGAUUCAACGGUGCCGUAGAUCCGUUUGGUCAUUAGGUGUUACGAGCCACACCCAUGUCUAGCUAGAAUAGUGUGCUAGGCUCAGGCUAGAGAAGAAACGGGGAACAAACUGAUGAAAGAAUGAUCAAACCGAGGGAAUUCACUCAGAACUAACAAUAAUGAUAACGUGCUCCGACUGGAGCGGUUUAGGAACUGCUGGAAGUCUCUAGGGGAAUAAAGAUGGAAUGACUUCUAAUUUUUACGUUCGUAUGAUUUGAAAAACUUGCCCAUAAACCGCGCGAAAGUGUUCCUGGAAAUCUCAGCCCAAAAAAGGACGUUUAGUAAUUUUAAAAGGGACUACACGAUGAAAAACAAUAGUUUUGGCAGGUAAAGUUUGAGAUUCGACAGUGCCGUAGAUCCGUUUGGUCAUCAGGUGUUACGAGCCACACCCAUGUCUAGCUAGAAUAGUAUGUUACGCUCAGGUUAGAGAAGAAACGGGGAACAAACUGAUGAAAGAUGAUCAUACCAAGGGAAUUCACUCAGAACUAACAAGAAUGAUAACGUGCUCCGACUGGAGCGGUUUAGGAACUGCUGGAAGGCUCUAGGGGAAUAAAGAUGGAAUGACUUCUAAUUUUUACGUCUGUAUGAUUUGAAAUACUUGCACACAAACAACGCAAAAGCAUUCCUGGAAAUCUCAUCCUAAAAAAGGACGUUUAGUAAUUCUAAAAGGGACUACAGGAUGAAAAAUAAUAGUUUGGGAAGUUAAAAUUUGAGAUUCGAUAGUGCCGUAGAUCCGUUUGGUCAUCAGGUGUUAGGAGCCACACCCAUGUCUAGCUAGAAUAGUGUGUUAGGCUCAGGCUAGAGAAGAAACAGGGAACAAACUGAUGAAAGAAUGAUCAUACCGAGGGAAUUCACUCAGAACUAGCAAGAAUGAUAACGUGCUCCGACUGGAGCAGUUUUGAAACUGCUGGAAGGCUCUAGGGGAAUAAUGAUGGAAUGACUUCUAAGUUUUUGGUCCGUAUGAUUUGAAAUACGUGCACACAAACCCAGAGAAAGUGUUCUUGGAAAUCUCGGCCGAAAAAAGGAUGUUUAAUAAUUCUAAAAGGGACUACAGGAUGAAAAACAAUAGUUUUGGCAGUUAAAGUUUGUGAUUCGAUGGUGCUGUAGAUCUGUUUGGUCAUCAGGUGUUAUGAGCCACACCCAUGUCUAGCUAGAACAGUGUGUUAGGCUCAGGCUAGAGCAGAAACGGGGAACAAACUUAUGAAAGAAUGAUCAUACCGAGGGAAUUCACUCAGAACUAACAAGAAUGAUAACGUGCUCCGACUGGAGAGGUUUAGGAACUGCUGGAAGGCUCUAGGGGAAUAAAGAUGGAAUGACUUCAAAUUUUUAGGUCUGUAUGAUCUGAAAUACUUGCACACAAACCGCGAGAAAGCGUUCCUGGAAAUCUCAGCCCAAAAAAGGACGUUUAGUGAUUCUAAAAGGGACUACGGGAUAAAAAACAAUAGUUUUGGCAGUUAAAGUUUGAGAUUCGAUAAUGCCGUAGAUCCGUUUGGUCAUCAGGUGUAACGAGCCACACCCAUGUCUAGCUAGAGUAGUGUGCUAGGCUCAUACUAGAGAAGAAAUGGGGAACAAACUGAUGAAAGAAUGAUCAUACCGAGGGAGUUCACUCAAAACUAACAUGAAUGAUAACGUGCUCCGACUGGAGCGGUUUAGGAACUGCUGGAAGGCUCUAGGGGAAUAAAGAUGGAAUGACUUCUAAUUUUUAGGUCCGUAUGAUUUGAAAUACAUGCACACAAACCCCAAGAAAGCGUUCCUGGAAAUCUCGCCCCGAAAAACGACGUUUAGUAAUUCUAAAAGGGACUAUAGGAUGAAAAACAAUAGUUUUGGCAGUUAAAGUUUGAGAUUUGACGGUGCCGUAGAUCUGUUUGGUCAUCAGGUGUUACGAGCCACACCCAUUUCUAGCUAGAAUAGUGUGUUAGGCUCAGGCUAGAAAAGAAACGGGGAACAAAGUGAUGAAAGAAUGAUCAUACCGAGGGAAUUCACUCAGAACUAACAAGAAUGAUAACAUGGUCCGACUGGAGCGGUUUAGGAACUGCUGGAAGGCUCUAGGGGAAUAAAGAUGGAAUGACUUCUAACUUUUAGGUCCGUAUGAUUUGAAUUACUUGCACACAAACCGCGCGAAAGCGUUCCUGGAAAUCUCAGCCCAAAAAAGGACGUUUAGUAAUUCUAAAAGGGACUACAGGAUGAAAAACAAUAGUUUUGGCAGUUAAAGUUUGAGAUUCGACGGUGCCGUAGAUCCGUUUGGUCAGCAGGUGUUACGAGCCACACCCAUGUCUAGCUAGAGUAGUGUGCUAGGUUCAGACUAGAGAAGAAAUGUUGGGGAACGUAGCAGAAAUUCAAAAUUUUCCUACGUGUCACCAAGAUCUAUCUAUGGAGAGACUAGCAACGAGGGAAGGAGAGUGCAUCUACAUACCCUUGUAGAUCGCUAAGCGGAAGCGUUCAAGUGAACGGGGUUGAUGGAGUCGUACUCGUCGUGAUUCAGCUCACCGAUGAUCCUAGUGCCGAACGGACGGCACCUCCGCGUUCAACACACGUACAGCUCGACGAUGUCUCCCACGCCUUGAUCCAGCAAGGAGAGAGGGAGAGGUUGAGGAAGACUCCAUCCAGCAGAAGCACAACGGCGUGGUGGUGAUGGAGGAGCAUGGCAAUCCUGCAGGGCUUCGCCAAGCACCUAUGGGAGAGGAGGAGGUGUCACGGGAGGGAGGGAGGCGCCAAGGGCUCAGGUAUAGAUGCCCUCCCUCCCCUCCACUAUAUAUAGGGGCAAGGGAGAGGGGGGAGGCGCAGCCUUGCCCCUUCCUCCAAGGAAGGGGUGCGGCUAAGAGGGGGGGAGGAGUCCAUCCUCCCCAAGGCACCUCGGAGGUGCCUUCCCCCUUUAGGACUCUCCCCUUUUUCCUAUAUCUUGGCGCAUGGGCCUCUAGGGGCUGGUUCCCUUGGCCCAUGUAGGCCCAGGCGCACCCCCUACAGCCCAUGUGGCCCCCCGGGGCAGGUGGCCCCACCUGGUGGGCCCCCGGGACCCUUCCGGUGGUCCCGGUACAAUACCGAUGACCCCGAAACUUGUCCCGAUGGCCGAAACAGGACUUCCUAUAUAUAAAUCUUUACCUCCGGACAAUUCCGGAACUCCUCGUGACGUCCGGGAUCUCAUCCGGGACUCCGAACAACAUUCGGUAACCACAUACAAACUUCCUUUAUAACCCUAGCGUCAUCGAACCUUAAGUGUGUAGACCCUACGGGUUCGGGAGACAUGUAGUCAUGACCGAGAUGUUCUCCGGUCAAUAACCAACAGCGGGAUCUGGAUACCCAUGUUGGCUCCCACAUGUUCCACGAUGAUCUCAUCGGAUGAACCACGAUGUCAAGGACUCAAUCAAUCCCGUAUACAAUUCCCUUUGUCUAGCGGUAUGGUACUUGCCCGAGAUUCGAUCGUCGGUAUACCGAUACCUUGUUCAAUCUCGUUACCGGCAAGUCUCUUUACUCAUUUCGUAACACAUCAUCCCGUGAUCAACCCCUUGGUCACAUUGUGCACAUUAUGAUGAUGUCCUACCGAGUGGGCCCAGAGAUACCUCUCCGUUUACACGGAGUGACAAAAUCCCAAUCUCGAUUCGUGCCAACCCAACAGACACUUUCAGAGAUACCCGUAGUGUACCUUUACAGCCACCCAGUUACGUUGUGACGUUUGGCACACCCAAAGCACUCCUACAGUAUCCGGGAGUUGCACAAUCUCAUGGUCUAAGGAAAUGAUACUUGACAUUAGAAAAGCUUUAGCAUACGAACUACAUGAUCUUGUGCUAGGCUUAGGAUUGGGUCUUGUCCAUCACAUCAUUCUCCUAAUGAUGUGAUCCCGUUAUCAACGACAUCCAAUGUCCAUGGUCAGGAAACCGUAACCAUCUAUUGAUUAACGAGCUAGUCAACUAGAGGCUUACUAGGGACAUGGUGUUGUCUAUGUAUCCACACAUGUAUCUAAGUUUCCUAUCAAUACAAUUCUAGCAUGGAUAAUAAACGAUUAUCAUGAACAAGGAAAUAUAAUAAUAAUCAAUUUAUUAUUGCCUCUAGGGCAUAUUUCCAACAGUCUCCCACUUGCACUAGAGUCAAUAAUCUAGUUCACAUCGAUAUGUGAUUAACACUCAAGGUCACAUUCCCAUGUGACUAACACCCAAGAGUUUACUAGAGUCAAUAAUCUAGUUCACAUUUACCAUGUGAUUAACACUUGAUGAGUUCUGGGUUUGAUCAUGUUAUGCUUGUGAGAGAGGUUAUAGUCAACGGGUCUGAACCUUUCAGAUCCGUGUGUGCUUUACAAAUCUCUAUGUCAUCUCCUAGAUGCAGCUACCACGUUCUAUUUGGAGCUAUUCCAAAUAACUGUUCUACUUGGAGCUAUUCUAAAUUGUUGCUCCAUUAUACGUAUCCGGUAUCUCUACUCAGAGCUAUCCGGAUAGGUGUUAAGCUUGCAUCGACGUAACCCUUUACGACGAACUCUUUUACCACCUCCAUAAUUGAGAAAAUUCCUUAGUCCACUAGUUACUAAGGAUAACUUUGACCGCUGUCCUGUGAUCCAUUCUUGGAUCACUCUUGUACCCCUUGACUGACUCAUGGUAAAGCACACUUCAGGUGCGGUACACAGCAUAGCAUACUGUAGAGCCUAUGUCUUAAGCAUAGGGGACGACCUUCGUUCCUUUCUCUCUAUUCUGCCAUGGUCGAGCUUUAAGUCUUAACUUCAUACCUUACAACUCAGGCAAGAACUCCUUCUUUGACUGAUCCAUCUUGAACACCUUCAAGAUCACGUCAAGGCAUGUGCUCACGUCAAGAUCACGUCGGUAUACCGAUACCUUGUUCAAUCUCGUUACCGGCAAGUCUCUUUACUCGUUCCGUAACACAUCAUCCCGUGAUCAACCCCUUGGUCACAUUGUGCACAUUAUGAUGAUGUCCUACCGAGUGGGCCCAGAGAUACCUCUCCGUUUACACGGAGUGACAAAAUCCCAAUCUCGAUUCGUGCCAACCCAACAGACACUUUCAGAGAUACCCGUAGUGUACCUUUAUAGCCACCCAGUUACGUUGUGACGUUUGGCACACCCAAAGCACUCCUACGGUAUCCGGGAGUUGCACAAUCUCAUGGUCUAAGGAAAUGAUACUUGACAUUAGAAAAGCUUUAGCAUACGAACUACAUGAUCUUGUGCUAGGCUUAGGAUUGGGUCUUGUCCAUCACAUCAUUCUCCUAAUGAUGUGAUCCCGUUAUCAACGACAUCCAAUGUCCAUGGUCAGGAAACCGUAACCAUCUAUUGAUUAACGAGCCAGUCAACUAGAGGCUUACUAGGGACAUGGUGUUGUCUAUGUAUCCACACAUGUAUCUGAGUUUCCUAUCAAUACAAUUCUAGCAUGGAUAAUAAACGAUUAUCAUGAACAAGGAAAUAUAAUAAUAAUCAAUUUAUUAUUGCCUCUAGGGCAUAUUUCCAACAGUCUCCCACUUGCACUAGAGUCAAUAAUCUAGUUCACAUCACCAUGUGAUUAACACUGACAGGUCACAUCACCAUGUGACCAACAUCCAAAGAGUCUUGGGUUUGAUCAUGUUGCUUGUGAGAGAGGUUAUAGUCAACGGGUCUGAACCUUUCAGAUCCGUGUGUGCUUUACAAAUCUCUAUGUCAUCUCCUAGAUGCAGCUACCACGUUCUAUUUGGAGCUAUUCCAAAUAACUGUUCUACUUGGAGCUAUUCUAAAUUGUUGCUCCAUUAUACGUAUCCGGUAUCUCUACUCAGAGCUAUCCGGAUAGGUGUUAAGCUUGCAUCGACGUAACCCUUUACGACGAACUCUUUUACCACCUCCAUAAUUGAGAAAAUUCCUUAGUCCACUAGUUACUAAGGAUAACUUUGACCGCUGUCCUGCGAUCCAUUCUUGGAUCACCCUUGUACCCCUUGACUGACUCAUGGUAAAGCACACUUCAGGUGCGGUACACAGCAUAGCAUACUGUAGAGCCUAUGUCUUAAGCAUAGGGGAUGACCUUCGUUCCUUUCUCUCUAUUCUGCCAUGGUCGAGCUUUAAGUCUUAACUUCAUACCUUACAACUCAGGCAAGAACUCCUUCUUUGACUGGUCCAUCUUGAACACCUUCAAGAUCAUGUCAAGGUAUGUGCUCAUUUGAAAGUACUAUUAAGCGUUUUGAUCUAUCCUUAUAGAUCUUGAUGCUCAAUGUUCAAGUAGCUUAAUCCAGGUUUUCCAUUGAAAACACUUUCCAAAUAACCCUAUAUGCUUUCCAGAAAUUCUACGUCAUUUCUGAUCAUUAAUAUGUCAACAACAUAUAAUCAUCAGAAAUUCUAUAGUGCUCCCACUCACUUCUUUGGAAAUACAAGUUUCUCAUAAACUUUGUAUACACCCAAAAUCUUUGAUCAUCAUCAAAGCAUACAUUCCAACUCCGAGAUGCUCACUCCAGUCCUCAGAAGGAUUGCUGGAGCUUUGCAUACUUAUUAGCAUAUUUCAGGAUAGACAAAACCUUCCAGUUGUAUCACAUACAACCUUUCCUCAAGAAUCGUCGACGAAACAAUGUUUUGACAUCCUAUCUGCAAGAUUUCAUAAAUAAUGCAGUAAUUGUUAAUAUAAUUCCAACAGACUCUUAGCAUCGCUACGAGUGAGAAAGUCUCAUUGUAGUCAACUCCUUGAACUUGUCAAAAAACAUCUUAACGACAAGUCGAGCUUUCUCAAUGGUGACACUUACCAUCAUUGUCUGUCUUCCUUUCAAAAUCCAUAUGUACCUAACAGCCUUACGACCAUCAAGUAGUUCUUCCAAAGUCUACACUUUGUUUUCAUACAUGGAUCCUCUCUCGGGUUUUAUGGCCAUGAGCCAUUUAUCGGAAUCCGGGCCCACCAUUGCUUCUCCAUAGCUCGUAGGUUCAUUGUUGUCUAGCAACAUGACUUCCAAGACAGGAUUACUGUACCACUCUGAAGUAGUACGUAUCCUUGUCACCCUACGAGGUUUGGGAGUGACUUGAUCUGAAGUUUCAUGAUCACUAUCAUAAGCUUCUACUUCAAUUGGUGUAGGUGCCACAGGAACAACUUCCUGUGCCCUGCUACACACUGGUUGAAGUGAUGGUUCAAUAACCUCAUCAAGUCUCCACCAUCCUCCCACUCAAUUCUUUCGAGAGAAACCUUUCCUCGAGAAAGGACCCAAUUCUAGAAACAAUUCAUAUUGCUUUCGGAUCUGAAUUAGGAAGUAUACCCAACUGUUUUGGGUGUCCUAUGAAGAUGUACUUUAUCCGCUUUGGUUUCGAGCUUAAUCCUGAAACUUUUUCACAUAAGUGUCGCAGCCCCAAACCUUUAAGAAACGACAACUUAGGUUUCUCUAAACCAUAAUUCAUACGGUGUCAUCUCAUCGGAAUUACGUGGUGCCCUAUUUAAAGUGAAUGUGGUUGUCUUUAAUGCCUAACCCAUAAACUAUCGUGGCAGUUCGAUAAGAGACAUCAUGGUAUGCAUCAUAUCCAAUAGGGUGCAACUAUGAUGUUCGGACACACCAUCACACUAUGGUGUUCCAGGCGGUAUUAAUUGUGAAACAAUUUCCACAAUGUCUUAAUUGUGUGCCAAAACUCGUAACUCAGAUACUCAUCUCUAUGAUCAUAUCAUAGACAUUUUAUCCUCUUGUCACAAUGAUCUUCUACUUCACUCUGAAAUUACUUGAACCAUUCAACAAUUCAGACUUGUGUUUCAUCAAGUAAAUAUUCUCAACAUCUACUCGAAUCAUCUGUGAAGUAAGAACAUAACGAUAUUCACUGCAUGCCUCAGCACUCAUUGGACUGCACACAUCAAAAUGUGUUACUUCCAACAAGUUGCUAUCUUGUUCCAUCUUACUGAAAACGAGGCUUUUCAGUCAUCUUGCCCAUGUGGUAUGAUUUGCAUGUCCCAAGUGAUUCAAAAAUCAAGUGAGUCAAAACGGUCCAUUUGCAUGGAGUUUCUUCAUGCAUAUACACCAAUAGACAUGGUUCGCAUGUCUCAAACUUUUCAAAAACGAGUGAGCCCAAAGAUCCAUCAAUAUGGAGCUUCUUCAUGCGUUUUAUACCGAUAUGACUUACGUGGUAGUGCCACAAGUAGGUGGUACUAUCAUUACUAUCUUUUGGCAUGAACAUGUGUAUCACUACGAUCGAGAUUUAAUAAACCAUUCAUUUUAGGUGUAAGACCAUUGAAGGUAUUAUUCAAAUAAACAGAGUAACCAUUAUUCUCCUUAAAUGAAUAACCGUAUUGCGAUAGACGUAAUCCAAUCAUGUCUAUGCUCAACGCAAACACCAAAUAACAAUUAUUUAGGUUUAACACCAAUCUCUUUGGUAGAGGGAGCGUGCGAUGCUUGAUCAUAUCAAGCAUGGAAAAACUUACAACACAUAUCGUCAGCUCACCUUUAGCUAGUCUCUGUUUAUUCCGUAGCCUUUUGUUUCGAGUUACUAACACUUAGCAACCGAACUGGUAUCUAAUACCCUGGUGCUACUAGGAGUACUAGCAAAGUACACAUUAACACAAUGUAUAUCCAAUAUACUUCUAUCGACCUUGCCAGCCUUCUUAUCUACCAAGUAUCUAGGGUAAUUCUGCUCUAGUAGUUGUUCCCCUUAUUACAGAAGCACUUAGUCUCGGGUUUGGGUUUUACCUUGGGUUUCUUCACUAGAGCAGCAGCUGAUUUGCCGUUUCAUGAAGUAUCCCUUCUUGCCCUUGCCCUUCUUGAAACUAGUGGUUCCACCAACCAUCAACAAUUGAUGCUCCUUCUUGAUUUCUACUUUCGCGGUGUCAAACAUCGCGAAUACCUCAAGGAUCAUCAUAUCUAUCCCUGAUAUGUUAUAGUUCAUCAUGAAGCUCUAACAGCUUGGUGGCAAUGACUUUGGAGAACCAUCACUAUCUCAUCUGGAAGAUCAACUCCCACUCGAUUCAAGCGAUUGUUGUACUCAGACAAUCUGAGCACAAGCUCAACGAUUGAGCUUUUCUCCCUUAGUUUGCAGGUUAAGAAAGUCAUCGGAGGUCUUAUACCUCUUGACAUGGGCACGAGCCUGAAAUCCCAAUUUCAGCCCUCAAAACAUCUCAUAUGUUUCGCGAUGUUUCAAAAACGUCUUUGGUGCCUCAACUCUAAACCGUUUAACUGAACUAUCACGUAGUUAUCAAAACGUGUAUGUCAGAUGUUCGCAACAACCACAGACAACGUUCGAGGUUCAGCACACUGAGCGGUGCAUUAAGGACAUAAGCCUUCUAUGAAGCAAUGAGGACAAUCCUCAGUUUACGGACCUAGUCCGCAUAAUUGCUACUAUCAACUUUCAACUAAUUUUUCUCUAGGAACAUAUCUAAACAGUAGAACUAUAGCGUGAGCUACGACAUAAUUUGCAAAAACCUUUUGACUAUGUUCAGGAUAAUUAAGUUCAUCUUAUGAACUCCCACUCAGAUAGACAUCCCUCUAGUCAUCUAAGUGAUUACAUGAUCCGAGUCAAACUAGGCCGUGUCCGAUCAUCACGUGAGACGGACUAGUCAUCAUCGGUGAACAUCUUCAUGUUGAUCGUAUCUUCUAUACGACUCAUGUUCGACCUUUCGGUCUUCGUGUUCCGAGGCCAUGUAUGUACAUGCUAGGCUCGUCAAGUUAACCCUAAGUGUUUCGCGUGUGUAAAUCUGUCUUACACCCGUUGUAUGUGAACGUUAGAAUCUAACACCCGAUCAUCACGUGGUGCUUCGAAACACGAACUGUCGCAACGGUGCACAGUUAGGGGAGAACACUUCUUGAAAUUGUUGUAAGGGAUCAUCUUAUUUACUACCGUCGUUCUAAGCAAAUAAGAUGUAUAAACAUGAUAAACAUCACAUGCAAUCAAAUAGUGACAUGAUAUGGCCAUCAUCACUUUGCUCCUUUUGAUCUCCAUCUUCGGGGCUCCAUGAUCAUCAUCGUCACCGGCAUGACACCAUGAUCUCCAUCAUCAUGAUCUCCAUCAUCGUGUCUUCAUGAAGUUGCCUCGCCAACUAUUACUUCUACUACUAUGGCUAACGGUUAGCAAUAAAGUAAAGUAAUUACAUGACGUUUAAGUUGACACGCAGGUCACAAAUGAAUAAAGACAACUCCUAUGGCUCCUGCCGGUUGUCAUACUCAUCGACAUGCAAGUCGUGAUUCCUAUUACAAGAACAUGAUCAAUCUCAUACAUCACAUAUAUCAUUCAUCACAUCCUUUUUGGCCAUAUCACAUCACAUAGCAUACCCUGCAAAAACAAGUUAGACGUCCUCUAAUUGUUGUUUGCAUGUUUUACGUGGCUGCUAUGGGUUUCUAGCAAGAACGUUUCUUACCUACGCAUGAACAACAACGUGAUAUGCCAAUUGCUAUUUACCCUUCAUAAGGACCCUUUUCAUCGAAUCCGAUCCGACUAAAGUGGGAGAGACAGACACCCGCCAGCCACCUUAUGCAACUAGUGCAUGUUUGUCGGUGGAACCGGUCUCACGUAAGCGUACGUGUAAGGUUGGUCCGGGCCGCUUCAUCCCACGAUGCCGCCGAAUCAAGAUAAGACUAGUAACGGCAAGCAUAUUGAACAAUAUCAACGCCCACAACUACUUUGUGUUCUACUCGUGCAAAGAAUCUACGCAAUAGACCUAGCUCAUGAUGCCACUGUUGGGGAACGUAGCAGAAAUUCAAAAUUUUCCUACGUGUCACCAAGAUCUAUCUAUGGAGAUACUAGCAACGAGGGAAGGAGAGUGCAUCUACAUACCCUUGUAGAUCGCUAAGCGGAAGCGUUCAAGUGAACGGGGUUGAUGGAGUCGUACUCGUCGUGAUUCAGAUCACCGAUGAUCCUAGUGCCGAACGGACGGCACCUCCGCGUUCAACACACGUACAGCUCGACGAUGUCUCCCACGCCUUGAUCCAGCAAGGAGAGAGGGAGAGGUUGAGGAAGACUCCAUCCAGCAGCAGCACAACGGCGUGGUGGUGAUGGAGGAGCGUGGCAAUCCUGCAGGGCUUCGCCAAGCACCUACGGGAGAGGAGGAGGUGUCACGGGAGGGAGGGAGGCGCCAAGGGCUCAGGUAUAGAUGCCCUCCCUCCCCUCCACUAUAUAUAGGGGCAAGGGAGAGGGGGAGGCGCAUCCUUGCCCCUUCCUCCAAGGAAGGGGUGCGGCUAAGAGGGGGGGAGGAGUCCAUCCUCCCCAAGGCACCUCGGAGGUGCCUUCCCCCUUUAGGACUCUCCCCUUUUUCCUAUAUCUUGGCGCAUGGGCCUCUAGGGGCUGGUGCCCUUGGCCCAUGUAGGCCAAGGCGCACCCCCCUACAGCCCAUGUGGCCCCCCGGGGCAGGUGGCCCCACCCGGUGGGCCCCCGGGACCCUUCCGGUGGUCCCGGUACAAUACCGAUGACCCCGAAACUUGUCCCGAUGGCCGAAACAGGACUUCCUAUAUAUAAAUCUUUACCUCCGGACCAUUCCGGAACUCCUCGUGACGUCCGGGAUCUCAUCCGGGACUCCGAACAACAUUCGGUAACCACAUACAAACUUCCUUUAUAACCCUAGCGUCAUCGAACCUUAAGUGUGUAGACCCUACGGGUUCGGGAGACAUGUAGUCAUGACCGAGAUGUUCUCCGGUCAAUAACCAACAGCGGGAUCUGGAUACCCAUGUUGGCUCGCACAUGUUCCACGAUGAUCUCAUCGGAUGAACCACGAUGUCAAGGACUCAAUCAAUCCCGUAUACAAUUCCCUUUGUCUAGCGGUAUGGUACUUGCCCGAGAUUCGAUCGUCGGUAUACCGAUACCUUGUUCAAUCUCGUUACCGGCAAGCCUCUUUACUCGUUCCGUAACACAUCAUCCCGUGAUCAACCCCUUGGUCACAUUGUGCACAUUAUGAUGAUGUCCUACCGAGUGGGCCCAGAGAUACCUCUCCGUUUACACGGAGUGACAAAAUCCCAAUCUCGAUUCGUGCCAACCCAACAGACACUUUCAGAGAUACCCGUAGUGUACCUUUAUAGCCACCCAGUUACGUUGUGACGUUUGGCACACCCAAAGCACUCCUACGGUAUCCGGGAGUUGCACAAUCUCAUGGUCUAAGGAAAUGAUACUUGACAUUAGAAAAGCUUUAGCAUACGAACUACAUGAUCUUGUGCUAGGCUUAGNNNNNNNNNNUGAUCAACCCCUUGGUCACAUUGUGCACAUUAUGAUGAUGUCCUACCGAGUGGGCCCAGAGAUACCUCUCCGUUUACACGGAGUGACAAAAUCCCAAUCUCGAUUCGUGCCAACCCAACAGACAUUUUCAGAGAUACCCGUAGUGUACCUUUAUAGCCACCCAGUUACGUUGUGACGUUUGGCACACCCAAAGCACUCCUACGGUAUCCGGGAGUUGCACAAUCUCAUGGUCUAAGGAAAUGAUACUUGACAUUAGAAAAGCUUUAGCAUACGAACUACAUGAUCUUGUGCUAGGCUUAGGAUUGGGUCUUGUCCAUCACAUCAUUCUCCUAAUGAUGUGAUCCCGUUAUCAACGACAUCCAAUGUCCAUGGUCAGGAAACCGUAACCAUCUAUUGAUUAACGAGCUAGUCAACUAGAGGCUUACUAGGGACAUGGUGUUGUCUAUGUAUCCACACAUGUAUCUGAGUUUCCUAUCAAUACAAUUCUAGCAUGGAUAAUAAACGAUUAUCAUGAACAAGGAAAUAUAAUAAUAAUCAAUUUAUUAUUGCCUCUAGGGCAUAUUUCCAACAAGAAACGGGGAACAAACUGAUGAAAGAAUGAUCAUACCGAGGGAAUUCACUCAGAACUAACAAGAAUGAUAACGUGCUUUGACUGGAGCGGUUUAAAAACUGCUGGAAGGCUCUAGGGGAAUAAAGAUGGAAUGCCUUCAAAUUUCUAGGUCCGUAUGAUUUGAAAUACUUGCACACAAACCGCGCGAAAGCGUUCCUGGAAAUCUCAGCCCAAAAAAGGACGUUUAGUAAUUCUAAAAGGGACUACAGAAUGAAAAACAAUAGUUUUGGCAGUUAAAGUUUGAGAUUCGAUGGUGCCGUAGAUCCGUUUGGUCAUCAGGUGUAACGAGCCACACCCAUGUCUAGCUAGAGUAGUGUGCUAGGCUCAGGCUAGAGAAGAAACGGGGAACAAACUGAUGAAAGAAUGAUCAUACCGAGGGAAUUCACUCAGAACUAACAAGAAUGAUAACGUGCUCCGACUGGAGCGGUUUAGGAACUGCUGGAAGGCUCUAGGGGAAGAAAGAAGGAAUGACUUCUAAUUUUUAGGUCCGUAUGAUUUGAAAUACGUGCACACAAACCGCGCGAAAGCGUUCCUGGAAAUCUCAGCCCAAAAAAGGACGUUUAGUAUUCUAAAAGGGACUACAGAAUGAAAAACAAUAGUUUUGGCAGUUAAAGUUUGAGAUUCGACGGUGCCGUAGAUCCGUUUGGUCAUCAGGUGUUACGAGCCACACCCAUGUCUAGCUAGAAUAGUGUGCNNNNNNNNNNNNNNNNNNNNNNNNNCGUAUGAUUUGAAAUACGUGCACACAAACCGCGCGAAAGCGUUCCUGGAAAUCUCAGCCCAAAAAAGGACGUUUAGUAUUCUAAAAGGGACUACAGAAUGAAAAACAAUAGUUUUGGCAGUUAAAGUUUGAGAUUCGACGGUGCUGUAGAUCCGUUUGGUCAUCAGGUGUUACGAGCCACACCCAUGUCUAGCUAGAAUAGUGUGCUAGGCUCAGGCUAGAGAAGAAAAGGGGAACAAACUAAUGAAAGAAUGAUCAAUACGAGGGAAUUCACUCAGAACUAACAAUAAUGAUAACGUGCUCCGACUGGAGCGGUUUAGGAACUGCUGGAAGGCUCUAGGCGAAUAAAGAUGGAAUGACUUCUAAUUUUUACGUCCGUAUGAUUUGAAAUACUUGCACACAAACCACGCAAAAGCGUUCCUGGAAAUCUCGGCCUAAAAAGGACGUUUAGUAAUUCUAAAAGGGACUACAGGAUGAAAAAUAAUAGUUUGGGCAGUUAAAAUUUGAGAUUCGACGGUGCCGUAGAUCCGUUUGGUCAUCAGGUGUUACGAGCCACACCCAUGUCUAGCUAGAAUAGUGUGUUAGGCUCAGGCUAGAGAAGAAACGAGGAACAAACUGAUGAAAGAAUGAUCAUACCAAGGGAAUUCACUCAGAACUAACAAGAAUGAUAACGUGCUCCGACUGGAGCAGUUUAGAAACUGCUGGAAGGCUCUAGGGGAAUAAAGAUGGAAUGACUUCUGAUUUUUAGGUCCGUAUGAUUUGAAAUACGUGCACACAAACCCCGCGAAAGCGUUCCUGGAAAUCUCAGCCCAAAAAAGGACGUUUAGUAAUUCUAAAAGGGACUACAACAUGAAAAACAAUAGUUUUGGCAGUUAAAGUUUGAGAUUUCAUGGUGCCGUAGAUCUGUUUGGUCAUCAGGUGUUACGAGCCACACCCAUGUCUAGCUAGAAUAGUGUGUUAGGCUCAGGCUAGAAAAGAAACGGGAAACAAAGUGAUGAAAGAAUGACCAUACCGAGGGAAUUCACUCAGAACUAACAAGAAUGAUAACAUGCUCCGACUUGAGCGGUUUAGGAACUGCUGGAAGGCUCUAGGGGAAUAAAGAUGGAAUGACUUCUAAUGUUUAGGUCCGUAUGAUUUGAAAUACUUGCACAUAAACCGCACAAAAGCGUUCCUGGAAAUCUCAGCCCAAAAAAGGACGUUUAGUAAUUCUAAAAGGGACUACAGGAUGAAAAACAAUAGUUUUGGCAGUUAAAGUUUGAGAUUCGACGGUGCCGUAGAUCCGUUUGGUCAUCAGGUGUUACGAGCCACACCCAUGUCUAGCUAGAAUAGUGUGUUAGGCUCAGGCUAGAGAAGAAACUUGGAACAAACUGAUGAAAGAAUGAUCAAACCAACGGAAUUCACUCAGAACUAACAAUAAUGAUAACGUGCUCCGACUGGAGCAGUUUAGGAACUGCUGGAAGGCUCUAGGGGAAUAAAGAUGGAAUGACUUCUAAUUUUUAGGUCCGUAUGAUUUGAAAUACUUGCACGCAAACCGCGCGAAAGCGUUCCUGGAAAUAUCAGCCCAAAAAAGGACGUUUAGUAAUUCUAAAAGGGACUACAGGAUGAAAACAAUAGUUUUGGCAGUUAAAGUUUGAGAUUCAACAGUGCCGUAGAUCCGUUUGGUCAUCAGGUGUUAUGAGCCAUACCCAUGUCUAGCUAGAGUAGUGUGCUAGGCUCAGGCUAGAGAAGAAACAGGGAACAAACUGAUGAAAGAAUGAUCAUACCGAGGGAAUUCACUCAGAACUAACAAGAAUGAUAACGUGCUCCGACUGGAGCGGUUUAGGAACUGCUGGAAGGCUCUAGGGGAAUAAAGAUGGAGUGACUUCUAAAUUUUUAGGUCCGUAUGAUUUAAAAUACUUGCACACAAACCGCACGAAAGCGUUCCUUGAAAUCUCAGCCCAAAAAAGGACGUUUAGUAAGUCUAAAAGGGACUAUAGGAUGAAAAACAAUAGUUUUGGCAGUUAAAGUUUGAGAUUCGAUGGUGCCGUAGAUCUGUUUGGUCAUCAGGUGUUACGAGCCACACCCAUGUCUAGUUGGAAUAGUGUGCUAGGCUCAGACUAGAGAAGAAACAGGGAACAAACUGAUGAAAGAAUGAUCAAACCGAGGAAAUUCACUCAGAACUAACAAUAAUGAUAACAUGCUCCGACUGGAGCGGUUUAGGAACUGCUGGAAGGCUCUAGGGGAAUAAAGAUGGAAUGACUUCUAAAUUUUUAGGUCCGUAUGAUUUGAAAUAGUUGCACACAAACUGCGCGAAAGCGUUCCUGGAAAUCUCAGCCCAAAAAAGGACGUUUAGUAAUUCUAAAAGGGACUAUAGGAUGAAAAACAAUAGUUUUGGCAGUUAAAGUUUGAGAUUCGACGGUGCCGUAGAUCCGUUUGGUCAUCACGUGUUACAAGCCACACCCAUGUCUAGCUAGAGUAGUGUGCUAGGCUCAGACUAUAGAAGAAACGGGGACCAAACUGAUGAAAGAAUGAUCAAACCGAGGAAAUUCACUCAGAACUAACAAUAAUGAUAACAUGCUCCGACUGGAGCGGUUUAGGAACUACUGGAAGGCUCUAGGGGAAUAAAGAUGGAAUGACUUCUAAAUUUUUAGGUCCGUAUGAUUUUAAAUAGUUGCACACAAACUGCGCGAAAGCGUUCCUGGAAAUCUCAGCCCAAAAAAGGACGUUUAGUAAUUCUAAAAGGGACUACAGGAUGAAAAACAAUAGUUUGGGCAGUUAAAAUUUGAGAUUCGACGGUGCCGUAGAUCCGUUUGGUCAUCAGGUGUUACGAGCCACACCCAUGUCUAGCUAGAGUAGUGUGCUAGGCUCAGGCUAGAGAAGAAACAGGGAACAAACUGAUGAAAGAAUGAUCAUACCGAGGGAAUUCACUCAGAACUAACAAGAAUGAUAACGUGCUCUGACUGGAGCGGUUUAAGAACUGUUGGAAGGCUCUAGGGGAAUAAAGAUGGAAUCACUUCAAAUUUUUACGUCCGUGUGAUUUGAAAUACUUGCACACAAACCGCACGAAAGCGUUCCUGGAAAUCUCAGCCCAAAAAAGGACGUUUAGUAAGUCUAAAAGGGACUACACGAUGAAAAACAAUAGUUUUGGCAGUUAAAGUUUGAGAUUCGACAGUGCCGUAGAUCCGUUUGGUCAUCAGGUGUAACGAGCCACACCCAUGUCUAGAUAGAGUAGUGUGCUAGGCUCAAACUAGAGAAGAAACGGGGAACAAACUGAUGAAAGAAUGAUCAUACCGAGGGAAUUCACUCAGAAAUAACAAGAAUGAUAACGUGCUCUGACUGGAGCGGUUUAGGAACUGCUGGAAGGCUCUAGGGGAAUAAAGAAGGAAUGACUUCUAAUUUUUAGGUCCGUAUGAUUUGAAAUACGUGCACACAAACCCCGAGAAAGCGUUCCUGGAAAUCUCGACCCAAAAAAGGACGUUUAGUAAUUCUAAAAGGGACUACGGGAUGAAAAACAAUAGUUUUGGCAGUUAAAGUUUGAGAUUCGAUAAUGCCGUAGAUCCAUUUGGUCAUCAGGUGUAACGAGCCACACCCAUGUCUAGCUAGAGUAGUGUGCUAGGCUCAGACUAGAGAAGAAACAGGGAACAAACUGAUGAAAGAAUGAUCAUAUCGAGGGAAUUCACUCAGAACUAACAAGAAUGAUAACAUGCUCCGACUUGAGCGGUUUAGGAACUGCUGGAAGGCUCUAGGGGAAUAAAGAUGGAAUGACUUCUAAUUUUUAGGUCCGUAUGAUUUGAAAUACUUACACACAAACCACGCGAAAGCGUUCCUGGAAAUCUCAGCCCAAAAAAGGACGUUUAGUAAUUCUAAAAGGGACUACAUGAUGAAAAACAAUAGUUUUCGCAGUUAAAGUUUGAGAUUCGACGGUGCCGUAGAUCCGUUUGGUCAUCAAGUGUUACGAGCCACACCCAUGUCUAGCUAGAAUAGUGUGUUAGGCUCAGCCUAGAGAAGAAACGGGGAACAAACUGAUGAAAGAAUGAUCAUACCGAGGGAAUUCACUCAGAACUUACAAGAAUGAUAACGUGCUCCGACUUGAGCGGUUUAAGAACUGUUGGAAGGCUCUAGGGGAAUAAAGAUGGAAUCACUUCAAAUUUUUACGUCCGUGUGAUUUGAAAUACUUGCACACAAACCCCGAGAAAGCGUUCCUGGAAAUCUCGGCCGAAAAAAGGAUGUUUAAUAAUUCUAAAAGGGACUACAGGAUGAAAAACAAUAGCUUUGGCAGUUAAAGUUUGUGAUUCGAUGGUGCCGUAGAUCUGUUUGGUCAUCAGGUGUUAUGAGCCACACCCAUGUCUAGCUAGAAUAGUGUGUUAGGCUCAGGCUAGAGCAGAAACUAGGAACAAACUUAUGAAAGAAUGAUCAUACCGAGGGAAUUCACUCAGAACUAACAAGAAUGAUAACGUGCUCCGACUGGAGCGGUUUAGGAACUGCUGGAAGGCUCUAGGGGAAUAAAGAUGGAAUGACUUCUAAUUUUUAGGUCCGUAUGAUUUGAAAUACAUGCACACAAACCCCAAGAAAGCGUUCCUAGAAAUCUCAGCCCAAAAAGGACGUUUAGUAAUUCUAAAAGGGACUACAGGAUGAAAAACAAUAGGUUUGGCAGUUAAAGUUUGAGAUUCGAUAAUGCCGUAGAUCCGUUUGGUCAUCAGGUGUAACGAGCCACACCCAUGUCUAGCUACAUUAGUGUGCUAGGCUCAGACUAGAGAAGAAACGGGGAACAAACUGAUGAAAGAAUGAUCAUACCGAGGGAAUUCACUCAGAACUAACAAGAACGAUAACAUGCUCCGACUGCAGCGGUUUAGGAACUGCUGGAAGGCUCUAGGGGAAUAAAGAAGGAAUGACUUCUAAUUUUUAGGUCCGUAUGAUUUGAAAUACUUGCACACAAACCGCGCGAAAGCAUUCCUGGAAAUCUCAGCCCAAAAAAGGACGUUUAGUAAUUCUAAAAGGGACUACAGGAUGAAAAACAAUAAUUUUGGCAGUUAAAGUUUGAGAUUCGACGGUGCCGUAGAUCCGUUUGGUCAUCAGGUGUUACGGGCCAUACCCAUGUCUAGCUAGAAUAGUGUGUUAGGCUCAGGUUAGAGAAGAAACGGGGAACAAAGUGAUGAAAGAAUGAUCAUACCGAGGGAAUUCACUCAGAACUAACAAGAAUGAUAACGUGCUCCGACUGGAGCGGUUUAGGAAUUGCUGGAAGGCUCUAGGGGAAUAAAGAUGGAAUGACUUCUAUAUUUUACGUCCGUAUGAUUUGAAAUACUUGCACACAAACCACGCAAAAGCACUCCUGGAAAUAUCAGCCUAAAAAGGAUGUUUAGUAAUUCUAAAAGGGACUACAGGAUGAAAAAUAAUAGUUUUGGCAGUUAAAAUUUGAGAUUCAACGGUGCCGUAAAUCCGUUUGGUCAUCAGGUGUUACGAGCCACACCCAUGUCUAGCUAGAAUAGUGUGUUAGGCUCAGGUUAGAGAAGAAACGGGGAACAAACUGAUGAAAGAAUGAUCAUACAAGGGGAAUUCACUCAGAACUAUCAAGAAUGAUAACGUGCUCCGACUGGAGCAGUUUAGGAACUGCCGGAAGGCUCUAGGGGAAUAAAGAUGGAAUGACUUCUAAUUUUUAUGUCCGUAUGAUUUGAAAUACUUGCACACAAACCACGCAAAAGCGUUCCUGGAAAUCUCAGCCUAAAAAGGACGUUUAGUAAUUCUAAAAGGGACUACAGGAUGAAAAACAAUAGUUUGGGCAGUUAAAAUUCGAGAUUCGACGGUGCCGUAGAUCCGUUUGGUCAUCAGGUGUUACGAGCCACACCCAUGUCUAGCUAGAAUAGUGUGUUAGGCUCAGGCUAGAGAAGAAACGGGGAACAAACUGAUGAAAGAAUGAUCAUAUCGAGGGAAUUCACUCAGAACUAACAAGAAUGAUAACGUGCUCCGACUGGAGCGGUUUAGUAACUGCUGGAAGGCUCUAGGGGAAUAAAGAUGGAAUGACUUCUAAUUAUUAGGUCCGUAAGAUUUGAAUUACAUGCACACAAACCCCGAGAAAGCGUUCCUGGAAAUCUCGGUCGAAAAAAGGAUGUUUAGUAAUUCUAAAAGGGACUACAGGAUGAAAAACAAUAGUUUUGGCAGUUAAAGUUUGUGAUUCGAUGGUGCCGUAGAUCUGUUUGGUCAUCAGGUGUUACGAGCCACACCCAUGUCUAGCUAGAAUAGUGUGUUAGGCUCAGGCUAGAGCAGAAACGGGGAACAAACUUAUGAAAGAAUGAUCAUGCCGAGGGAAUUCACUCAGAACUAACAAGAAUGAUAACGUGCUCCGACUGGAGCGGUUUAGGAACUGCUGGAAGGCUCUAGGGGAAUAAAGAUGGAAUGACAUCAAAUUUUUAGGUCCGUAUGAUUUGAAAUACUUGCACACAAACCGCAAGAAAGCGUUCUUGGAAAUCUCCGCCCAAAAAAGGACGUUUAGUAAUUCUAAAAGGGUCUACAGGAUGAAAAACAAUAGUUCUGGCAGUUAAAGUUUGAGAUUCGAUAAUGUCGUAGAUCCGUUUGGUCAUCAGGCGUAACGAGCCACACCCAUUUCUAGCUAGAGUAGUGUGCUAGGCUCAGACUAGAGAAGAAACGGGGAACAACCUGAUGAAAGAAUGAUCAUACCGAGGGAAUUCACUCAGAACUAACAAGAAUGAUAACGUGCUCCGACUGGAGCGGUUUAGGAACUGCUGGAAGGCUCUACGGGAAUAAAGAAGGAAUGACUUCUAAUUUUUAGGUCCGUAUGAUUUGAAAUACGUGCACACAAACCCCGAGAAAGCGUUCCUGGAAAUCUCGGCCCAAAAAAGGACGUUUAGUAUUCUAAAAGCGACUACAGAAUGAAAAACAAUAGUUUUGGUAGUUAAAGUUUGAGAUUUAACGGUGCCGUAGAUCUGUUUGGUCAUCAGGUGUUACGAGCCACACCCAUGUCUAGCUAGAAUAGUGUGUUAGGCUCAGGCUAGAUAAGAAACAGGGAACAAAGUGAUGAAAGAAUGAUCAUACCAAGGGAAUUCACUCAGAACUAACAAGAACGAUAACAUGCUCCGACUGGAGUGGUUUAGGAACUGCUGGAAGGCUCUAGGGGAAUAAAGAUGGAAUGACUUCUAAUUUUUAGGUCUGUAUGAUUUGAAAUACUUGCACACAAACCGCACGAAAGCGUUCCUGGAAAUCUCAUCCCAAAAAAGGACGUUUAGUAAUUCUAAAAGGGACUACAGGAUGAAAAACAAUAGUUUUGGCAGUUAAAGUUUGAGAUUCGAUAAUGCUGUAGAUCCGUUUGGUCAUCAGGUGUAACGAGCCACACCCAUGUCUAGCUAGAGUAGUGUGCUAGGCUCAGACUAGAGAAGAAACGGGGAACAAACUGAUGAAAGAAUGAUCAUACCGAGGGAAUUCACUCAGAACUAACAAUAAUGAUAACGUGCUCCGACUGGAGCGGUUUAGGAACUGCUGGAAGGCUCUAGGGGAAUAAAGAUGGAAUGAGUUCUAAUUUUUAGGUCUGUAUGAUUUGAAAUACUUGCACACAAACCGCGUGAAAGCAUUCCUGGAAAUUUCAGCCCAAAAAAGGACGUUUAGUAAUUUUAAAAGGGACUACACGAUGAAAAACAAUAGUUUUGGCAGUUAAAGUUUGAGAUUCGACGGUGCCGUAGAUCCGUUUGGUCAUCAGGUGUUACGAGCCACACCCAUGUCUAGCUAGAAUAGUAUGUUAGGCUCGGGUAAGAGAAGAAACGGGGAACAAACUGAUGAAAGAAUGAUCAUACCAAGGGAAUUCACUCAGAACUAACAAGAAUGAUAACGUGCUCCGACUGGAGCGGUUUAGGAACUGCUGGAAGGCUCUAGGGGAAUAAAGAUGGAAUGACUUCUAAUUUUUACGUUCGUAUGAUUUGAAAUACUUGCACACAAACCACGCAAAAGCGUUCCUGGAAAUCUCAUCCUAAAAAAGGACGUUUAGUAAUUCUAAAAGGGACUACAGGAUGAAAAAUAAUAGUUUGGGCAGUUAAAAUUUGAGAUUCGACGGUGCCGUAGAUCCGUUUGGUCAUCAGGUGUUACGAGCCACACCCAUGUCUAGCUAGAAUAGUGUGUUAGGCUCAGGCUAGAGAAGAAACGGGGAACAAACUGAUGAAAGAAUGAUCAUAUCGAGGGAAUUCACUCAGAACUAACAAGAAUGAUAACGUGCUCCGACUGGAGCAGUUUAGAAACUGCUGGAAGGCUCUAGGGGAAUAAAGAUGGAAUGACUUCUAAUUUUUAGGUCUGUAUGAUUUGAAAUACGUGCACACGAACCCCGAGAAAGCGUUCCUGGAAAUCUCGGCCCAAAAAAGGACGUUUAGUAAUUCUAAAAGGGACUACAGGAUGAAAAACAAUAGUUUUGGCAGUUAAAGUUUGAGAUUCGACGGUGCCGUAGAUCCGUUUGUUCAUCAGGUGUUACGAGCCACACCCAUGUCUAGCUAGAAUAGUGUGUUAGGCUCAGGCUAGAGAAGAAACGGGGAACAAACUGAUGAAAGAAUGAUCAUACCGAGGGAAUUCACUCAGAACUAACAAGAAUGAUAACGUGCUCCGACUGGAGCGGUUUAGGAACUGCUAGAAGGCUCUAGGGGAAUAAAGAAGGAAUGACUUCUAAUUUUUAGGUCCGUAUGAUUUGAAAUACGUGCACACAAACCCCGAGAAAGCGUUCCUGGAAAUCUUGGCCCAAAAAAGGACGUUUAGUAUUCUAAAAGCGACUACAGAAUGAAAAACAAUAGUUUUGCUAGUUAAAGUUUGAGAUUUGAUGGUGCCGUAGAUCUGUUUGGUCAUCAGGUUUUACGAGCCACACCCAUGUCUAGCUAGAAUAGUGUGUUAGGCUCAGGCUAGAAAAGAAACAGGGAAUAAAGUGAUGAAAGAAUGAUCAUACCAAGGGAAUUCACUCAGAACUAACAAGAACGAUAACAUGCUCCGACUGGAGUGGUUUAGAACUGCUGGAAGGCUAAAGGGGAAUAAAGAUGGAAUGACUUCUAAUUUUUAGGUCCGUAUGAUUUGAAAUACUUGCACACAAACCGCACGAAAGUGUUCCUGGAAAUCUCAGCCCAAAAAAGGACGUUUAGUAAUUCUAAAAGGGACUACAGGAUGAAAAACAAUAGUUUUGGCAGUUAAAGUUUGAGAUUCGAUAAUGACGUAGAUCCGUUUGGUCAUCAGGUGUAACGAGCCACACCCAUGUCUAGCUAGAGUAGUGUGCUAGGCUCAGACUAGAGAAGAAACGGGGAACAAACUGAUGAAAGAAUGAUCAUACCGAGGGAAUUCACUCAGAACUAACAAUAAUGAUAACGUGCUCCGACUAGAGCGGUUUAGGAACUGCUGGAAGGCUCUAGGGGAAUAAAGAUGGAAUGACUUCUAAUUUUUAGGUCCCUAUGAUUUGAAAUACUUGCACACAAACCGCGUGAAAGCAUUCCUGGAAAUUUCAGCCCAAAAAAGGACGUUUAGUAAUUUUAAAAGGGACUACACGAUGAAAAAGAAUAGUUUUGGCAGUUAAAGUUUGAGAUUCGACGGUGCCGUAGAUCCGUUUGGUCAUCAGGUGUUACGAGACACACCCAUGUCUAGCUAGAAUAGUAUGUUAGGCUCGGGUUAGAGAAGAAACGGGGAACAAACUGAUGAAAGAAUGAUCAUACCAAGGGAAUUCACUCAGAACUAACAAGAAUGAUAACGUGCUCCGACUGGAGCGGUUUAGGAACUGCUGGAAGGCUCUAGGGGAAUAAAGAUGGAAUGACUUCUAAUUUUUACGUUCGUAUGAUUUGAAAUACUUGCAAACAAACCACGCAAAAGCGUUCCUGGAAAUUUCAUCCUAAAAAAGGACGUUUAGUAAUUCUAAAAGGGACUACAGGAUGAAAAAUAAUAGUUUGGGCAGUUAAAAUUUGAGAUUCGAUGGUGCCGUAGAUCCGUUUGGUCAUCAGGUGUUACGAGCCACACCCAUGUCUAGCUAGAAUAGUGUGUUAGGCUCAGGCUAGAGAAGAAACGGGGAACAAACUGAUGAAAGAAUGAUCAUAUCGAGGGAAUUCACUCAGAACUAACAAGAAUGAUAACGUGCUCCGACUGGAGCAGUUUAGAAACUGCUGGAAGGCUCUAGGGGAAUAAAGAUGGAAUGACUUCUAAUUUUUAGGUCUGUAUGAUUUGAAAUACGUGCACACAAACCCCGAGAAAGCGUUCCUGGAAAUCUCGUCCGGAAAAAGGAUGUUUAAUAAUUCUAAAAGGGACUACAGGAUGAAAAACAAUAGUUUUGGCAGUUAAAGUUUGUGAUUCGAUGGUGCCGUAGAUCUGUUUGGUCAUCAGGUGUUACGGGCCACACCCAUGUCUAGCUAGAAUAGUGUGUUAGGCUCAGGCUAGAGCAGAAACGGGGAGCAAACUUAUGAAAGAAUGAUCAUAGCGAGGGAAUUUACUCAGAACUAACAAGAAUGAUAACGUGCUCCGACUGGAGCGGUUUAGGAACUGCUGGAAGGCUCUAGGGGAAUAAAGAUGGAAUGACUUCAAAUUUUCAGGUAUGUAUGAUCUGAAAUACUUGCACACAAACCGCGAGAAAGCGUUCCUGGAAAUCUCAACCCAAAAAAGGAUGUUUAGUAAUUCUAAAAGGGACUACAGGAUUAAAAACAAUAGUUUUGGCAGUUAAAGUUUGAGAUUCGAUAAUGUCGUAGAUCCGUUUGGUCAUCAGGUGUAACGAGCCACACCCAUGUCUAGCUAGAGUAGUGUGCUAGGCUCAUACUAGAGAAGAAACGGGGAACAAACUGAUGAAAGAAUGAUCAUACCGAGGGAAUUCACUCAGAACUAACAAGAAUGAUAACGUGCUCCGACUGGAGCGGUUUAGGAACUGCUGGAAGGCUCUAGGGGAAUAAAGAUGGAAUGACUUCUUAUUUUUAGGUCCGUAUGAUUUGAAAUACAUGCACACAAACCCCAAGAAAGCGUUCCGGGAAAUCUCGGCCCAAAGAAUGAUGUUUAGUAAUUCUAAAAGGGACUAUAGAAUGAAAAACAAUAGUUUUGGCAGUUAAAGUUUGAGAUUUGACGGUGUCGUAGAUCUGUUUGGUCAUCAGGUGUUACGAGCCACACCCAUUUCUAGCUAGAAUAGUGUGUUAGGCUCAGGCUAGAAAAGAAACGGGGAACAAAGUGAUGAAAGAAUGAUCAUACCGAGGGAAUUCACUCAGAACUAACAAGAAUGAUAACAUGCUCCGACUAGAGCGGUUUAGGAACUGCUGGAAGGCUCUAGGGGAAUAAAUAUGGAAUGACUUCUAAUUUUCAGGUCCGUAUGAUUUGAAAUACUUGCACACAAACCGCGCGAAAGCGUUCCUGGAAAUCUCAUCCCAAAGAAGGUCGUUUAGUAAUUCUAAAAGGGACUACAGGAUGAAAAACAAUAGUUUUGGCAAUUUAAGGUUUGAGAUUCGACGGUGCCGUAGAUCCGUUUGGUCAUCAGGUGUUACGAGCCACACCCAUGUCUAGCUAGAAUAGUGUGCUAGGCUCAGGCUAGAGAAGAAACAGGGAACAAACUGAUGAAAGAAUGAUCAAACCGAGGGAAUUCACUCAGAACUAACAAUAAUGAUAACGUUCUCCGUCUGGAGCGGUUUAGGAACUGCUGGAAGGCUCUAGGGGAAUAAAGAUGGAAUGACUUCUAAUUUUUAGGUCCGUAUGAUUUGAAAUACUUGCACACAAACCGCGCCAAAUCGUUCCUGGAAAUCUCAGCCCAAAAAAGGACGUUUAGUAAUUCUAAAAGGGACUACAGGAUGAAAAACAAUAGUUUUGGCAGUUAAAGUUUGAGAUUCGAUGGUGCCGUAGACCCGUUUGGUCAUCAGGUGUUACGAGCCACACCCAUGUCUAGCUAGAGUAGUGUGCUAGGUUCAGACUAGAGAAGAAACAGGGAACAAAGUGAUGAAAGAAUGAUCAUACCGAGGGAAUUCACUCAGAACUAACAAGAAUGAUAACGUGCUCCGACUGGAGCGGUUUAGGAACUGCUGGAAGGCUCUAGGGGAAUAAAGAUGGAAUGACUUCUAAUUUUUACGUCCGUAUGAUUUGAAAUACUUGCACACAAACCACGCAAAAGCGUUCCUGGAAAUCUCAGCCUAAAAAAGGACGUUUAGUAAUUCAAAAAGGGACUACAAAAUGAAAAACAAUAGUUUUGGCAGUUAAAGUUUGAGAUUCGAUGGUGCCGUAGAUCCGUUUGGUCAUCAGGUGUUACGAGCCACACCCAUGUCUAGCUAGGAUAGUGUGUUAGGCUCAGGCUAGAGAAGAAACGGGGAACAAACUGAUGAAAGAAUGAUCAUACCGAGGGAAUUCACUCAGAACUAACAAGGAUGAUAACAUGCUCCGACUAGAGCGGUUUAGGAACUGCUGGAAGGCUCUAGGGGAAUAAAGAUGGAAUGACUUCUAAUUUUUAGGUCCGUAUGAUUUGAAAUACUUGCACACAAACCGCAAGAAAGCGUUCCUGGAAAUCUCAGCCCAAAAAAGGACGUUUAGUAAUUCUAAAAGGGACUACAGGAUGAAAAACAAUAGUUCUGGCAGUUAAAGUUUGAGAUUCGAUAAUGCCGUAGAUCUGUUUGGUCAUCAGGUGUAACGAGCCACACCCAUGUCUAGCUAGAGUAGUGUGCUAGGCUCAGACUAGAGAAGAAACGGGGAACAAACUGAUGAAAGAAUGAUUAUACCGAGGGAAUUCACUCAGAACUAACGAGAAUGAUAACGUGCUCCGACUGGAGCGGUUUAGGAACUGCUGGAAGGCUCUAGGGGAAUAAAGAUGGAAUGACUUCAAAUUUUUAGGUCUGUAUGAUUUGAAAUACUUGCACACAAACCGCAAGAAAGCGUUCCUUGAAAUCUCAGCCCAAAAAAGGACGUUUAGUAAUUCUAAAAGGGACUACAGGAUGAAAAACAAUAGUUCUGGCAGUUAAAGUUUGAGAUUCGAUAAUGUCGUAGAUCCGUUUGGUCAUCAGGUGUAACGAGCCACACCCAUGUCUAGCUAGAGUAGUGUGCUAGGCUCAGAAUAGAGAAGAAACGGGGAACAAACUGAUGAAAGAAUGAUCAUACCGAGGGAAUUCACUCAGAACUAACAAGAAUGAUAACGUGCUCCGACUGGAGCGGUUUAGGAACUGCUGGAAGGCUCUAGGGGAAUAAAGAAGGAAUGACUUCUAAUUUUUAGGUCCGUAUGAUUUGAAAUACGUGCACACAAACCGCGCGAAAGCGUUCCUGGAAAUCUCAGCCAAAAAAAGGACGUUUAGUAUUCUAAAAGGGACUACAGAAUGAAAAACAAUAGUUUUGGCAGUUAAAGUUUGAGAUUCGACGGUGCUGUAGAUCCGUUUGGUCAUCAGGUGUUACGAGCCACACCCAUGUCUAGCUAGAAUAGUGUGCUAGGCUCAGGCUAGAGAAGAAAAGGGGAACAAACUAAUGAAAGAAUGAUCAAUCCGAGGGAAUUCACUCAGAACUAACAAUAAUGAUAACGUGCUCCGACUGGAGCGGUUUAGGAACUGCUGGAAGGCUCUAGGCGAAUAAAGAUGGAAUGACUUCUAAUUUUUACGUCCGUAUGAUUUGAAAUACUUGCACACAAACCACGCAAAAGCGUUCCUGGAAGUCUCGGCCUAAAAAGGACGUUUAGUAAUUCUAAAAGGGACUACAGGAUGAAAAAUAAUAGUUUGGGCAGUUAAAAUUUGAGAUUCGACGGUGCCGUAGAUCCAUUUGGUCAUCAAGUGUUACGAGCCACACCCAUGUCUAGCUAGAAUAGUGUGUUAGGCUCAGGCUAGAGAAGAAACGGGGAACAAACUGAUGAAAGAAUGAUCAUACCAAGGGAAUUCACUCAGAACUAACAAGAAUGAUAACGUGCUCCGACUGGAGCAGUUUAGAAACUGCUGGAAGGCUCUUGGGGAAUAAAGAUGGAAUGACUUCAAAUUUUUAGGUCCGUAUGAUUUGAAAUACUUGCACACAAACCACGCGAAAGCGUUCCUGGAAAUCUCAGCCCAAAAAAGGACGUUUAGUAAUUCUAAAAGGGACUACAUGAUGAAAAACAAUAGUUUUGGCAGUUAAAGUUUGAGAAUCGUCGGUGCCGUAGAUCCGUUUGGUCAUCAGCUGUAACGAGCCACACCCAUGUCUAGCUAGAGUAGUGUGCUAGGCUCAGACUAGAGAAGAAACAGGGAACAAAGUGAUGAAAGAAUGAUCAUACCGAGGGAAUUCACUUAGAACUAACAAGAAUGAUAACAUGCUCCGACUUGAGCGAUUUAGGAACUUCUGGAAGGCUCUAGGGGAAUAAAGAUGGAAUGACUCAAAUUUUUAGGCCCGUAUGAUUUGAAAUACAUGCACACAAACCGCGAGAAAGUGUUCCUGGAAAUCUUAGCCCAAAAAAGGACGUUUAGUAAUUCUAAAAGGGACUACAGGAUGAAAAACAAUAGUUUUGGUAGUUAAAGUUUCAGAUUCGAUAAUGCCCUAGAUCCGUUUGGUCAUCAGGUGUAACGAGCCACACCAAUGUCUAGCUAGAGUAGUGUGCUAGGCUCAGACUAGAUAAGAAACGGGGAAGAAACUGAUGAAAGAAUGAUCAGACCGAGGGAAUUCACUCAGAACUAACAAUAAUGAUAACGUGCUCCGAGUGGAGCGGUUUAGGAACUGCUGGAAGGCUCUAGGGGAAUAAAGAUGGAAUGACUUCUAAUUUUUAGGUCCGUAUGAUUUGAAAUACGUGCACACAAACCCCGAGAAACCGUUCCUUGAAAUCUCGGCCCAAAAAAGGACGUUUAGUAAUUCUAAAAGGGACUACAAAAUGAAAAACAAUAGUUUUGGCAGUUAAAGUUUGAGAUUCGACGGUGUCGUAGACCCGUUUGGUCUUCAGGUGUUACGAGCCACACCCAUGUCUAGCCAGAGUAGUGUGCUAGGUUCAGACUAGAGAAGAAACGGGGAACAAAGUGAUGAAAGAAUGAUCAUACCGAGGGAAUUCACUCAGAACUAACAAGAAUGAUAACGUGCUCCGACUGGAGCGGGUUAGGAACUCCUGGAAGGCUCUAGGGGAAUAAAGAUGGAAUGACUUCUAAUUUUUACGUCCGUAUGAUUUGAAAUACUUGCACACAAACCACGCAAAAGCGUUCCUGGAAAUCUCAGCCUAAAAAAGGACGUUUAGUAAUUCUAAAAGGGACUACAGGAUGAAAAAUAAUAGUUUGGUCAUCAGGUGUUACGAGCCACACCCAUGUCUAGCUAGAAUAGUGUGCUAGGCUCAGGCUAGAGAAGAAACGGGGAAUAAACUGAUGAAAGAAUGAUCAAACCGAGGGAAUUCACUCAGAACUAACAAUAAUGAUAACGUUCUCCGUCUGGAGCGGUUUAGGAACUGCUGGAAGGCUCUAGGGGAAUAAAGAUGGAAUGACUUCUAAUUUUUAGGUCCGUAUGAUACGAAAUACUUGCACACAAACCGCGCGAAAUCGUUCCUGGAAAUCUCAGCCCAAAAAAGGACGUUUAGUAAUUCUAAAAGGGACUACAGCAUGAAAAACAAUAGUUCUGGCAGUUAAAGUUUGAGAUUCGAUAAUGCCGUAGAUCCGUUUGGUCAUCAGGUGUAACGAGCCACACCCAUGUCUAGCUAGAGUAGUAUGCUAGGCUCAGACUAGAGAAGAAACGGGGAACAAACUGAUGAAAGAAUGAUUAUACCGAGGGAAUUCACUCAGAACUAACAAGAAUGAUAACGUGCUCCGGCUGGAGCGGUUUAGGAACUGCUAGAAGGCUCUAGGGGAAUAAAGAUGGAAUGACUUCAAAUUUUUAGGUCUGUAUGAUUUGAAAUACUUGCACACAAACCGCAAGAAAGCGUUCCUGGAAAUCUCAGCCCAAAAAAGGACGUUUAGUAAUUCUAAAAGGGACUAUAGGAUGAAAAACAAUAGUUCUGGUAGUUAAAGUUUGAGAUUCGAUAAUGUCAUAGAUCCGUUCGGUCAUCAGGUGUAACGAGCCACACCCAUGUCUAGCUAGAGUAGUGUGCUAGGCUCAGACUAGAGAAGAAACGGGGAACAAACUGAUGAAAGAAUGAUCAUACCGAGGGAAUUCACUCAGAACUAACAAGAAUGAUAACGUGCUCCGACUGGAGCGGUUUAGGAACUGCUGGAAGGCUCUAGGGGAAGAAAGAAGGAAUGACUUCUAAUUUUUAGGUCCGUAUGAUUUGAAAUACGUGCACACAAACCGCGCGAAAGCGUUCCUGGAAAUCUCAGCCCAAAAAAGGACGUUUAGUAUUCUAAAAGGGACUACAGAAUGAAAAACAAUAGUUUUGGCAGUUAAAGUUUGAGAUUCGACGGUGCCGUAGAUCCGUUUGGUCAUCAGGUGUUACGAGCCACACCCAUGUCUAGCUAGAAUAGUGUGCUAGGCUCAGGCUAGAGAAGAAAAGGGGAACAAACUGAUGAAAGAAUGAUCAAACCGAGGGAAUUCACUCAGAACUAACAAUAAUGAUAACGUGCUCCGACUGGAGCGGUUUAGGAACUGCUGGAAGGCUCUUGGCGAAUAAAGAUGGAAUGACUUCUAAUUUUUACGUCCGUAUGAUUUGAAAUACUUCCACACAAACCAGGCAAAGGCGUUCCUGGAAAUCUCGGCCUAAAAAGGACGUUUAGUAAUUCUAAAAGGGACUACAGGAUGAAAAAUAAUAGUUUGGGCAGUUAAAAUUUUAGAUUCGACGGUGCCGUAGAUCCGUUUGGUCAUCAGGUGUUACGAGCCACACCCAUGUCUAGCUAGAAUAGUGUGUUAGGCUCAGGCUAGAGAAGAAACGGGGAACAAACUGAUGAAAGAAUGAUCAUACCAAGGGAAUUCACUCAGAACUAACAAGAAUGAUAACGUGCUCCGACUGGAGCAGUUUAGAAACUACUGGAAGGCUCUAGGGGAAUAAAGAUGGAAUGACUUCAAAUUUUUAGGUCCGUAUGAUUUGAAAUACUUGCACACAAACCGCGCGAAAGCGUUCCUGGAAAUCUCAGCCCAAAAAAGGACGUUUAGUAAUUCUAAAAGGGACUACAUGAUGAAAAACAAUAGUUUUGGCAGUUAAAGUUUGAGAUUCGUCGGUGCCGUAGAUCCGUUUGGUCAUCAGCUGUAACGAGCCACACCCAUUUCUAGCUAGAGUAGUGUGCUAGGCUCAGACUAAAGAAGAAAUGGGGAACAAAGUGAUGAAAGAAUGCUCAUACCGAGGGAAUUCACUCAGAACUAACAAGAAUGAUAACAUGCUCCGACUUGAGCGAUUUAGGAACUUCUGGAAGGCUCUAGGGGAAUAAAGAUGGAAUGACUCAAAUUUUUAGGUCCGUAUGAUUUGAAAUACUUGCACACAAACCGCGAGAAAGCGUUCCUGGAAAUCUCAGCCCAAAAAAGGACGUUUAGUAAUUCUAAAAGGGACUACAUGAUGAAAAACAAUAGUUUUGGCAGUUAAAGUUUGAGAUUUGAUAAUGCCGUAGAUCCGUUUGGUCAUCAGGUGUAACGAGCCACACCCAUGUCUAGCUAGAGUAGUGUGCUAGGCUAAGACUAGAUAAGAAAAGGGGAAGAAACUUAUGAAAGAAUGAUCAGACCGAGGGAAUUCACUCAGAACUAACAAUAAUGAUAACGUGCUCCGACUGGAGCGGUUUAGGAACUGCUGGAAGGCUCUAGGGGAAUAAAGAUGGAAUGACUUCUAAUUUUUAGGUCCGUAUGAUUUGAAAUACGUGCACACAAACCCCGAGAAACCGUUCCUGGAAAUCUCGGCCCAAAAAAGGAUGUUUAGUAAUUCUAAAAGGGACUACAAAAUGAAAAACAAUAGUUUUGGCAGUUAAAGUUUGAGAUUUGAUGGUGCCGUAGAUCUGUUUGGUCAUCAGGUGUUACGAGCCACACCCAUGUCUAGCUAGAAUAGUGUGUUAGGCUCAGGCUAGAAAAGAAACGGGAAACAAAGUGAUGAAAGAAUGAUCAUACCGAGGGAAUUCACUCAGAACUAACAAGAAUGAUAACAUGCUCUGACUGGAGCGGUUUAGGAACUGCUGGAAGGCUCUAGGGGAAUAAAGAUGGAAUGACUUCUAAUGUUUAGGUCCGUAUGAUUUGAAAUACUUGCACAUAAACCGCGCAAAAGCGUUCCUGGAAAUCUCAGCCCAAAAAAGGACGUUUAGUAAUUCUAAAAGGGACUACAGGAUGAAAAACAAUAGUUUUGGCAGUUAAAGUUUGAGAUUCGACGGUGCCGUAGAUCCGUUUGUUCAUCAGGUGUUACGAGCCACACCCAUGUCUAGCUAGAAUAGUGUGUUAGGCUCAGGCUAGAGAAGAAACGGGGAACAAACUGAUGAAAGAAUGAUCAAACCGAGGGAAUUCACUCAGAACUAACAAUAAUGAUAACGUGCUCCGACUAGAGCGGUUUAGGAACUGCUGGAAGGCUCUAGGGGAAUAAAGAUGGAAUGACUUCUAAUUUUUAGGUCUGUAUGAUUUGAAAUACUUGCACGCAAACCGCGCGAAAGCGUUCCCGGAAAUAUCAGCCUAAAGAAGGACGUUUAGUAAUUCUAAAAGGGACUACAGGAUGAAAAACAAUAGUUUUGGCAGUUAAAGUUUGAGAUUCAACGGUGCCGUAGAUCCGUUUGGUCAUCAGGUGUUACGAGCCACACCCAUGUCUAGCUAGAGUAGUGUGCUAGGCUCAGGCUAGAGAAGAAACAGGGAACAAACUGAUGAAAGAAUGAUCAUACCGAGGGAAUUCACUCAGAACUGAUGAAAGAAUGAUCAAACCAAGGAAAUUCACUCAGAACUAACAAUAAUGAUAACAUGCUCCGACUGGAGCGGUUUAGGAACUGCUGGAAGGCUCUAGGGGAAUAAAGAUGGAAUGACUUCUAAUUUUUAGGUCCGUAUGAUUUGAAAUACGUGCACACAAACCCCGAGAAACCGUUCCUGGAAAUCUCGGCCCAAAAAAGGACGUUUAGUAAUUCUAAAAGGGACAACAAAAUGAAAAACAAUAGUUUUGGCAGUUAAAGUUUGAGAUUCGACGGUGCCGUAGACCCGUUUGGUCAUCAGGUGUUACGAGCCACACCCAUGUCUAGCUAGAGUAGUGUGCUAGGUUCAGACUAGAGAAGAAACGGGGAACAAAGUGAUGAAAGAAUGAUCAUACCGAGGGAAUUCACUCAGAACUAACAAGAAUGAUAACGUGCUCCGACUGGAGCGGGUUAGGAAUUGCUGGAAGGCUCUAGGGGAAUAAAGAUAGAAUGACUUCUAAUUUUUACGUCCGUAUGAUUUGAAAUACUUGCACACAAACCACGCAAAAGCGUUCCUAGAAAUCUCAGCCUAAAAAAGGACGUUUAGUAAUUCUAAAAGGGACUACAGGAUGAAAAAUAAUAGUUUGGCCAGUUAAAAUUUAAGAUUCGACGGUGCCGUAGAUCCGCUUGGUCAUCAGGUGUUACGAGCCACACCCAUGUCUAGCUAGAAUAGUGUGUUAGGCUCAGGCUAGAGAAGAAACGGGGAACAAACUGAUGAAAGAAUGAUCAUACCGAGGGAAUUCACUCAGAACUAACAAGAAUGAUAACAUGCUCCGACUGGAGCGGUUUAGGAACUGCUGGAAGGCUCUAGGGGAAUAAAGAUGGAAUGACUUCUAAUUUUUAGGUCCGUAUGAUUUGAAAUACUUGCACACAAACCGCAAGAAAGCGUUCCUGGAAAUCUCAGCACAAAAAAGGACGUUUAGUAAUUCUAAAAGGGACUACAGCAUGAAAAACAAUAGUUCUGGCAGUUAAAGUUUGAGAUUCGAUAAUGCCGUAGAUCCGUUUGGUCAUCAGGUGUAACGAGCCACACCCAUGUCUAGCUAGAGUAGUGUGCUAGGCUCAGACUAGAGAAGAAACGGGGAACAAAAUGAUGAAAGAAUGAUUAUACCGAGGGAAUUCACUCAGAACUAACAAGAAUGAUAACGUGCUCCGACUGGAGCGGUUUAGGAACUGCUGGAAGGCUCUAGGGGAAUAAAGAUGGAAUGACUUCAAAUUUUUAGGUCUGUAUGAUUUGAAAUACUUGCACACAAACCGCAAGAAAGCGUUCCUGGAAAUCUCAGCCCAAAAAUGGACGUUUAGUAAUUCUAAAAGGGACUAUAGGAUGAAAAACAAUAGUUCUGGCAGUUAAAGUUUGAGAUUCGAUAAUGUCGUAGAUCCGUUCGGUCAUCAGGUGUAACGAGCCACACCCAUGUCUAGCUAGAGUAGUGUGCUAGGCUCAGACUAGAGAAGAAACGGGGAACAAACUGAUGAAAGAAUGAUCAUACCGAGGGAAUUCACUCAGAACUAACAAGAAUGAUAACGUGCUCCGACUGGAGCGGUUUAGGAACUGCUGGAAGGCUCUAGGGGAAGAAAGAAGGAAUGACUUCUAAUUUUUAGGUCCGUAUGAUUUGAAAUACGUGCACACAAACCGCGCGAAAGCGUUCCUGGAAAUCUCAGCCCAAAAAAGGACGUUUAGUAUUCUAAAAGGGACUACAGAAUGAAAAACAAUAGUUUUGGCAGUUAAAGUUUGAGAUUCGACGGUGCCGUAGAUCCGUUUGGUCAUCAGGUGUUACGAGCCACACCCAUGUCUAGCUAGAAUAGUGUGCCAGGCUCAGGCUAGAGAAGAAAAGGGGAACAAACUGAUG
This 38577-nucleotide long non-coding RNA is filed under the name Triticum aestivum (bread wheat). Its description in RNAcentral is "long non-coding RNA (TAES_LNC019907)". The record is from RNAcentral. Lineage: Eukaryota; Viridiplantae; Streptophyta; Magnoliopsida; Poales; Poaceae.